RNAcentral lists this ribosomal RNA (216 nucleotides) under Glomeromycotina sp. RNAcentral describes it as "partial small subunit ribosomal RNA". The stretch from base 40 to 216 matches the Rfam family "Eukaryotic small subunit ribosomal RNA", at positions 686 to 864 of the family's 1831-position model. The record is from RNAcentral. Lineage: Eukaryota; Fungi; Glomeromycota.
GGGUCCGUAGGUUGGUCGUGCCACCGGUACGUACUGGUCUCACUGAUUCCUCCUUCCUGAAGAACCGUAAUGCCAUUAAUUUGGUGGUGCGGGGAAACAGGACUGUUACUUUGAAAAAAUUAGAGUGUUUAAAGCAAGCUAACGCUUGAAUACAUUAGCAUGGAAUAAUGAAAUAGGACGAUCGAUCCUAUUUUGUUGGUUUCUAGGAUUGACGUA